AUGGCUGGAAACCUGCUGUUGGUCGUCGUCAUGUAUUCCUUUUCUGAGAUGAAAGCACAAGCUCUUCUUGCACCUAAACUGACGGUGAACCAAUCGGUGAUCACAGACACAGACUCAGUCACAUUGAACUGUCAGCCUCCACCAUCUGUUUCUGUGUCUCAGUGUUAUUUCAGCACUGUAAGAGGAGGACCGGCCACACGCUUCUCUUGUCUGCAGACACUGACAGGAACUGAACUGCUCAAGAUGUCAUAUCAAAGUUCACCUGCUGAGGUUGAAGUGAAAUGUUCUUACCUUAAGGUGUUUCAAUCUCCUGAGAGUGAAACAACCUCCAUCACCAUCCGAACAUCUCUUCCACCUAAACUGACAGUGAAUCCACCAGUGAUCAACGAGAGAGACUCAGUCACAUUGAACUGUCAGACUCCACCAUCCUUUUCUGUGACUCAGUGUCAUUUCUACAUUUCAAGUGGAGGAACUGUCAGAGACUCCUCUUGUCUGCAGACACUGACAGGAACUGAACUGCUGAAGACGUCACCUCAGAGUUCACCUUCUGAGGUUGAAGUGAUGUGUUUUUAUACGGUAAAGCUUGGAGAAAAAGAUUCUCCAUCUCCAUACAGUGGCACUUCCCGCAUUACCAUACACGGUGAGUGAAUGCUUUUUUGAUUUGGUAUCAUAACAAGAAAAGGGGAGAAGUGAAUUUGUCUUUAGGGCUUAUAAACCAAAACAAGGAGAGAAAGACUAAUUUAAGAACUUCUGUUCUCAUAAAAUGCCGCCUGCUUUUUUAAUGUUAAUUGUAUUUUGAGCAACGAUAGAUUUAAU
Molecule: long non-coding RNA, 816 nt
Filed under: Dicentrarchus labrax (European seabass)
Lineage: Eukaryota; Metazoa; Chordata; Actinopteri; Moronidae
Description: lncRNA (ENSDLAG00005026484.1)
Source: RNAcentral